Cricetulus griseus (Chinese hamster) is the source of this 153-nucleotide non-coding RNA. The record is from RefSeq and is a predicted model, not a curated record. Lineage: Eukaryota; Metazoa; Chordata; Mammalia; Rodentia; Cricetidae.
AGGAUGAAGGGGUGAAUUCUGUUGCCAAUGUGGGCUGUGUGGACACAUCAGCAGUAUCUGGGAUGGAAAGGACUGUUCUGAAAAAGCCAGAGAAACCUGCCAGCUGAAUUUGACCACUGAGGCCAUGGAUUCUCUUUAAAACAAGCAUGGCAA